UAAACCAGUCAGGCCCUAAGUGA
RNAcentral lists this non-coding RNA (23 nucleotides) under Arabidopsis thaliana (thale cress). Lineage: Eukaryota; Viridiplantae; Streptophyta; Magnoliopsida; Brassicales; Brassicaceae. The record is from RNAcentral.